UCGCUUUCUGCUUCUUGGACGUUUCCUCCCUAAACUUGGCGGCGCAGCGAUGCGCCGCCAUUUUUUUUGCGCGCC
Non-coding RNA from Acetobacteraceae bacterium SCN 69-10, 75 nucleotides. The record is from Rfam. NCBI's taxonomy places the organism in Bacteria, Pseudomonadati, Pseudomonadota, Alphaproteobacteria, Acetobacterales, Acetobacteraceae.